AUGAAUGCAAGUGGUAGGAGGGGGCCAUCUCUGUCGCUUGCUCUUUCUGUGUGGCGGGUAGUAAAAAGCAUUAAGAAUUGUGUGGUAAAAAAGUGGGAGUAUGAAAAGAGAAAUGGAAUGUUGCCGUUGUGCUGGAUGGAGCCAGAGGCAGAGCGAUGGCAACGGCUAGCUCGCGCGCGUGCGGCAGAUGGCGGGGCCUCCUCUCCUCUGCUCCCCGCUCCCUCGUCGUCGCAGUCAGGGAAGGAAGCCGAGCGAGCGGGUCAAGCGCUGCAACGCGAGCCAGGGAGGAAACGGACGCUCCAGAAGCUGUUCGUUCCAGGACAAAAAAUAAAUGAAAUAAAAUACUACUCCAAUCUGAUUGGAGGCUCGAGGAGGCGAUCGGCGCCGGCGGCCCGCGCCAACGAGACCGAGACCCACCCCACGACGAGCCGCGCCGCUGUUUAUUUAUAA
RNAcentral lists this ribosomal RNA (450 nucleotides) under Triticum aestivum (bread wheat). Its description in RNAcentral is "partial small subunit ribosomal RNA". Lineage: Eukaryota; Viridiplantae; Streptophyta; Magnoliopsida; Poales; Poaceae. The record is from RNAcentral.